This 1496-nucleotide ribosomal RNA is filed under the name Candidatus Uhrbacteria bacterium CG_4_9_14_3_um_filter_50_9. RNAcentral describes it as "bacterial SSU rRNA". It matches the Rfam family "Bacterial small subunit ribosomal RNA". Lineage: Bacteria; Candidatus Uhriibacteriota. The record is from RNAcentral.
AUGAGAGUUUGAUCCUGGCUCAGGAUGAACGCUGGCGGCAUGUCUAAGGCAUGCAAGUUGAACGAAACACCUUCCUUCGGGAAGUUGAAAAGUGGCAAACGGGAGAGUAACACAUUGGUAACCUACCUCGAACUCGUGAAUAGCCCGUGGAAACGCGGAGUAAUACACGAUAUUGAUGGGGGGACUUCGGUCAUUCCCAUUGAAAGAUUUAUCGGUUCGAGAGGGGCCUAUGUUCUAUCAGCUUGUUGGUGAGGUAAAAGCUCACCAAGGCUACGACGGAUACCGGGCGUGAGAGCGUGGCCCGGCUCACUGGGACUGAGACACGGCCCAGACUCCUACGGGAGGCUGCAGUCAAGAAUCUUCCGCAAUGCACGAAAGUGUGACGGAGCAAUGCCGCGUGGUGGAUGAAGGCCUUCGGGUCGUAAACACCUUUUAUGAGGGACGAACAAAUGACGGUACCUCAAGAAUCAGGGGCUGCUAAUCACGUGCCAGCAGCAGCGGUAAUACGUGAGCCCCAAGCGUUAUCCGGAUUUAUUGGGCGUAAAGGGUCCGUAGGUGGUCUCGUUAGUCAUAUGUUAAAUCUUCAGGCUCAACCUGGAGGCCGCGUGUGAUACUGCGAGACUAGAGGACGGGAGAGGCAGACGGAAUUGUUGGUGUAGCGGUAAAAUGCGUUAAUAUCAACAAGAACACCAAAGGCGAAGGCAGUCUGCUGGAACGAUCCUGACACUGAGGGACGAAAGCGUGGGUAGCGAAUGGGAUUAGAUACCCCAGUAGUCCACGCCGUAAACGAUGAGUGCUAGGUUUUGGGAGUUUCGACCCUCUCAGAGCCGGUUAACCAAGCUAACGCGUUAAGCACUCCGCCUGGGUAGUACGAGCGCAAGCUUAAAACCUAAAGGAAUAGACGGGGACCCGCACAAGCGGUGGAGCGUGCGGUUUAAUUCGAUGCUAAGCGAGGAACCUUACCUGGGCUUGAAAAAUAGCUGCAAACCAUCCGAAAGGAAGGUCGCUUUCGAAGGUGCUAUUUAGGUGCUGCAUGGUUGUCGUCAGCUCGUGGCGUGAGCUGUUCCCUUAAGUGGGGUAACGAGCGCAACCCUUAUCUGAUGUUACAAGUGUCAUCAGAGACUGCCCGGGCAACCGGGAGGAAGGUGAGGAUGACGUCAAAUCAGCAUGGCCCUUACGUCCAGGGCGACACGCGCGCUACAAUGGCCAGUACAAUGGGCAGCCAACCCGCAAGGGGGAGCUAAUCCUAUAAAGCUGGUCCCAGUUCGGAUUGAGGUCUGCAACUCGACCUCAUGAAGAUGGAAUCGCUAGUAACGGCGGAUCAGCCACGCCGCCGUGAAUACGUUCUCGGGUCUUGUACUCACCGCCCGUCACGUCAAGAGAGUUGGUAACACCCGAACGUCGCCGUAGGGCGGCGGAAGGUGGGAUCGAUGAUAGGGACGAAGUCGUAACAAGGCACCCGUAGCGGAAGCUGUGGGUGGAUCACCUCCUUUUUA